GAUGAACGCUGGCGGCGUGCCUAAUACAUGCAAGUCGAGCGAACGGACGAGAAGCUUGCUUCUCUGAUGUUAGCGGCGGACGGGUGAGUAACACGUGGAUAACCUACCUAUAAGACUGGGAUAACUUCGGGAAACCGGAGCUAAUACCGGAUGAUAUUUUGAACCGCAUGGUUCAAAAGUGAAAGACGGUCUUGCUGUCACUUAUAGAUGGAUCCGCCCUGCAUUAGCUAGUUGGUAAGGUAACGGCUUACCAAGGCAACGAUGGAUAGCCGACCUGAGAGGGAGAUCGGCCAGCCGGGAAGUGAGACUGGGUCCAGACUCCGACGGGAGGCAGCAGUAGGGAAUCUUCCGCAAUGGACGAAUGCCUGACGGAGCAACGCCGCGUGAGUGAUGAAGGUCUUCGGAUCGUAGAACUCUGUUAGUAGGGAAGAACAUAUGUGUAAGUAACUGUGCACAUCUUGACGGUACCGAAUCAGAAAGCCACGGCUAACUACGUG
Molecule: ribosomal RNA, 497 nt
Filed under: uncultured bacterium
Lineage: Bacteria
Description: partial 16S ribosomal RNA
Rfam family: Bacterial small subunit ribosomal RNA
Source: RNAcentral